AAUAUUGCACAAUGGGCGAAAGCCUGACGCAGCAUCGCCGCGUGAGUGAUGAAGGCCUUCGGGUCGUAAAGCUCUUUGAUCAGGGAGGAUAAUGACAGUACCUGAAUAACAAGCAACGGCUAACUACGUGCCUGCAGCCGCGGUAAUACGUAGGUGGCGAGCGUUGUCCGGAGUUACUGGGCGUAAAGGAUGCGUAGUUGGAUAAUUAAGUGGGAUGUGAAAACCCCGGGCUCAACCCGGGAACUGCAUUACAAACUGGGUAUCUAGAGUGCAGGAGAGGAAGGCGGAAUUCCUAGUGUAGCGGUGAAAGGCGUAGAUGUUAGGAGGAACACCAGUGGCGAAGGCGGCUUUCUGGACUGUAACUAACACUGAGGCAUGAAAGCGUGGGUAGCAAGCAG
RNAcentral lists this ribosomal RNA (398 nucleotides) under uncultured bacterium. RNAcentral's name for it is "partial 16S ribosomal RNA". It matches the Rfam family "Bacterial small subunit ribosomal RNA", at positions 360 to 775 of the family's 1533-position model. The record is from RNAcentral.